GUCCACGCCGUAAACGAUGAGCGCUAGAUGUCGUGGGUAUUGACCCCCGCGGUGUCGUAGCUAACGCGUUAAGCGCUCCGCCUGGGGAGUACGGCCGCAAGGCUAAAACUCAAAGGAAUUGACGGGGGCCCGCACAAGCGGUGGAGCAUGUGGUUCAAUUCGACGCAACGCGCAGAACCUUACCUGGGUUAAAUCCACUGGAACCUCGCAGAAACGUGGGGGUGCUCGCAAGAGAGCCAGUGAGACGGUGCUGCAUGGCUGUCGU
This 265-nucleotide ribosomal RNA is filed under the name uncultured bacterium. Its description in RNAcentral is "partial 16S ribosomal RNA". It matches the Rfam family "Bacterial small subunit ribosomal RNA", at positions 793 to 1055 of the family's 1533-position model. The record is from RNAcentral.